UACGGUGGGUGCAAGCGUUAAUCGGAAUUACUGGGCGUAAAGCGUGCGCAGGCGGUUCGGAAAGAAAGAUGUGAAAUCCCAGAGCUUAACUUUGGAACUGCAUUUUUAACUACCGGGCUAGAGUGUGUCAGAGGGAGGUGGAAUUCCGCGUGUAGCAGUGAAAUGCGUAGAUAUGCGGAGGAACACCGAUGGCGAAGGCAGCCUCCUGGGAUAACACUGACGCUCAUGCACGAAAGCGUGGGGAGCAAACAGGAUUAGAAACCCCAGGUAGUCCACGCCCCAAACGAUGUCAACUAGCUGUUGGGGCCUUCGGGCCUUGGUAGCGCAGCUAACGCGUGAAGUUGACCGCCUGGGGAGUACGGUCGCAAGAUUAAAACUCAAAGGAAUUGACGGGGACCCGCACAAGCGGUGGAUGAUGUGGAUUAAUUCGAUGCAACGCGAAAAACCUUACCUACCCUUGACAUGUCUGGAAUGCCGAAGAGAUUUGGCAGUGCUCGCAAGAGAACCGGAACACAGGUGCUGCAUGGCUGUCGUCAGCUCGUGUCGUGAGAUGUUGGGUUAAGUCCCGCAACGAGCGCAACCCUUGUCAUUAGUUGCUACGAAAGGGCACUCUAAUGAGACUGCCGGUGACAAACCGGAGGAAGGUGGGGAUGACGUCAAGUCCUCAUGGCCCUUAUGGGUAGGGCUUCACACGUCAUACAAUGGUCGGGACAGAGGGUCGCCAACCCGCGAGGGGGAGCCAAUCCCAGAAACCCGAUCGUAGUCCGGAUCGCAGUCUGCAACUCGACCGCGUGAAGUCGGAAUCGCUAGUAAUCGCGGAUCAGCAUGUCGCGGUGAAUACGUUCCCGGGUCUUGUACACACCGCCCGUC
RNAcentral lists this ribosomal RNA (870 nucleotides) under uncultured bacterium. RNAcentral's name for it is "bacterial SSU rRNA". It matches the Rfam family "Bacterial small subunit ribosomal RNA", at positions 524 to 1398 of the family's 1533-position model. The record is from RNAcentral.